UAUAUCAGAACUGUGGGGACACAGAGGGAAAGCACAGGCGCGGAACGGAAAGCCGCGUGCAAGCGAGGUACCGGACUGGUAGGAAAAUCCGCCAGUUAACGGGAAGGCGUGAUGCGUACCGAAAUCAAGUAGGGAAGUGUGUGAGCCAGCUGUCAAGAAAAGCCGCUAUUGCGUAUACAGUACCCGUACCGUAAACCGACACAGGUGGAUGAGGAGAGAAUCCUAAGGCCGGCGGAAGAAGUAUUGUCAAGGAACUCGGCAAAAUGACCCUGUAACUUCGGGAGAAAGGGUGCCUCGAAAGAGGCCGCAGAGAAUUGGCCCAAGCAACUGUUUAGCAAAAACACAGGUCUAUGCGAAACCGAAAGGUGAGGUAUAUGGGCUGACGCCUGCCCGGUGUUGGAAGGUUAAGGGGAGAUGUUAGAGCAAUCGAAGCAUUGAACUUAAGCCCCAGUAAACGGCGGCCGUAACAAUAACGGUCCUAAGGUAGCGAAAUUCCUUGUCGGGUAAGUUCCGACCCGCACGAAAGGCGUAAUGAUUUGGGCGCUGUCUCGACAAUACAUCCGGUGAAAUUCAAGUACCAGUGAAGAUGCUGGUUACCCGCGCCAGGACGGAAAGACCCCAUGGAGCUUUACUCCAGCUUGAUACUGGGAUUCGGUAUUGCAUGUACAGGAUAGGUGGGAGGCUAAGAAGCAUGGACGCCAGUCUAUGUGGAGCCGCUGUUGGGAUACCACCCUUGCGGUAUUGGAUUUCUAACCAGCCGCCGUGAAACCGGCGGUGGGACAAUGUCAGGCGGGGAGUUUGACUGGGGCGGUCGCCUCCGAAAGGGUAUCGGAGGCGCCCAAAGGUUCCCUCAGAAUGGUUGGAAACCAUUCGAAGAGUGCAAAGGCAGAAGGGAGCUUGACUGUGACACCGACGGGUGGAGCAGGUACGAAAGUAGGGCUUAGUGAUCCGGUGGUAUUAAGUGGGAAUGCCAUCGCUCAACGGAUAAAAGCUACCCUGGGAUAACAGGCUUAUCACUCCCAAGAGUUCACAUCGACGGAGUGGUUUGGCACCUCGAUGUCGGCUCAUCGCAUCCUGGGGCUGUAGUAGGUCCCAAGGGUUGGGCUGUUCGCCCAUUAAAGCGGUACGCGAGCUGGGUUCAGAACGUCGUGAGACAGUUCGGUCCCUAUCCGGCGUGGGCGCAGGAUAUUUGAGAGGAGCUGUCCUUAGUACGAGAGGACCUGGAUGGACUGACCUCUGGUGCACCGGUUGUUCCGCCAGGAGCAUAGCCGGGUAGCCAAGUCGGGAAGGGAUAAACGCUGAAGGCAUCUAAGCGUGAAGCCCCCCUCAAGAUGAGAUAUCCCAUGCGAAAGCGAUAAGACCCCUUGAAGACGACGAGGUAGAUAGGUCAGAGGUGGAAGCACAGUAAUGUGUGGAGCUGACUGAUACUAAUAGGUCGAAGGCUUAAUC
Molecule: ribosomal RNA, 1449 nt
Filed under: metagenome
Description: bacterial LSU rRNA
Rfam family: Bacterial large subunit ribosomal RNA
Source: RNAcentral